This 1442-nucleotide ribosomal RNA is filed under the name Enterococcus faecium. RNAcentral describes it as "partial 23S ribosomal RNA". It matches the Rfam family "Bacterial large subunit ribosomal RNA", at positions 92 to 1536 of the family's 2925-position model. The record is from RNAcentral. Lineage: Bacteria; Bacillati; Bacillota; Bacilli; Lactobacillales; Enterococcaceae.
GUAAGCUAUGAUCCAGAGAUUUCCGAAUGGGGGAACCCAACAUCUUUAAUAGGAUGUUACGAUUGUGUGAAUACAUAGCACAUUCGAGGUAGACGCAGAGAACUGAAACAUCUAAGUACCUGCAGGAAGAGAAAGAAAAUUCGAUUCCCUGAGUAGCGGCGAGCGAAACGGGAAAAGCCCAAACCAGCAAGCUUGCUUGUUGGGGUUGUAGGACUCCAAUAUGGUAGUUCUUUCAGAUAGUCGAAUGACUUGGAAAAGUCAGUCAAAGAGGGUAAAAACCCCGUAGACGAAAUGUGGAAGACACCUAGGAGGAUCCUGAGUACGGCGGAACACGAGAAAUUCCGUCGGAAUCCGGGAGGACCAUCUCCCAAGGCUAAAUACUCCCUAGUGACCGAUAGUGAACCAGUACCGUGAGGGAAAGGUGAAAAGCACCCCGGAAGGGGAGUGAAAUAGAACCUGAAACCGUGUGCCUACAACAAGUCAAAGCCCGUUAAUGGGUGAUGGCGUGCCUUUUGUAGAAUGAACCGGCGAGUUACGAUUGCAUGCGAGGUUAAGUUGAAGAGACGGAGCCGCAGCGAAAGCGAGUCUGAAUAGGGCGUUUGAGUAUGUAGUCGUAGACCCGAAACCAUGUGAUCUACCCAUGUCCAGGUUGAAGGUGCGGUAAAACGCACUGGAGGACCGAACCCACGUACGUUGAAAAGUGCGGGGAUGAGGUGUGGGUAGCGGAGAAAUUCCAAACGAACUUGGAGAUAGCUGGUUCUCUCCGAAAUAGCUUUAGGGCUAGCCUCGGAAUUGAGAAUGAUGGAGGUAGAGCACUGUUUGGACUAGGGGCCCAUCUCGGGUUACCGAAUUCAGAUAAACUCCGAAUGCCAUUCAUUCAUAUCCGGGAGUCAGACUGUGAGUGAUAAGAUCCAUAGUCGAAAGGGAAACAGCCCAGACCACCAGCUAAGGUCCCAAAAUAUAUGUUAAGUGGAAAAGGAUGUGGGGUUGCACAGACAACUAGGAUGUUGGCUUAGAAGCAGCCACCAUUUAAAGAGUGCGUAAUAGCUCACUAGUCGAGUGACCCUGCGCCGAAAAUGUACCGGGGCUAAACAUAUUACCGAAGCUGUGGAGUACACCUUUAGGUGUAUUGGUAGGAGAGCGUUCUAAGGGCGUUGAAGGCAGAUCGUGAGGACUGCUGGAGCGCUUAGAAGUGAGAAUGCCGGUAUGAGUAGCGAAAGACAGGUGAGAAUCCUGUCCACCGAAUGACUAAGGUUUCCUGGGGAAGGCUCGUCCGCCCAGGGUUAGUCGGGACCUAAGCCGAGGCCGACAGGCGUAGGCGAUGGAUAACAGGUUGAUAUUCCUGUACCCGUUGUUUUUGUUUGAGCAAUGGAGGGACGCAGGAGGCUAAGGAAUGCAGACGAUCGGAAAUGUCUGUCCAAGCAGUAAGUCUGAAGAGGAGU